This 449-nucleotide ribosomal RNA is filed under the name Periconia macrospinosa. RNAcentral's name for it is "partial 18S ribosomal RNA". Lineage: Eukaryota; Fungi; Ascomycota; Dothideomycetes; Pleosporales; Periconiaceae. The record is from RNAcentral.
CGGUCCUACCUGAUCGAGGUCAGCUGAAGGCUUGUGGAGCGCGGAUCCGCCGGGCCUCCGAGAAGCGCAAAUGUGCUGCGCGAGGGGCCGGCACGACCGCCGCCAUGACUUUGAGGCGAGCCGCGCGCGAAAACGGCGGGACAGACGCCCAACACCAAGCUAGGUUGAGGUGAAAUGACGCUCGAACAGGCUGGCCAAAGGAUACCUAUGGCGAAUGUGCGUCAAAGUUCAUGAUCACUGAAUUCUGAUUCCACUACUUAUCGAUUCGUGCUUCUCUCGUGCCGAACCAAAGUCCUUGUGAAGUGGUAAUUAGGUUGUAUCAAAGUUUCCGAAAGAGGGGUUCUGGGUCCUGGCGGGGGACCCCCAGAACUUAAGGACCUAGGCGAGGGGGGGUAAGACGCAACCCCAAGGAUGUCCUCCGAGGUCCCACGAACCUGUAAUUUAAACAA